RNAcentral lists this ribosomal RNA (497 nucleotides) under uncultured bacterium. Its description in RNAcentral is "partial 16S ribosomal RNA". It matches the Rfam family "Bacterial small subunit ribosomal RNA", at positions 28 to 507 of the family's 1533-position model. The record is from RNAcentral.
GAUGAACGCUGGCGGCGUGCCUAAUACAUGCAAGUCGAGCGAACAGACGAGGAGCUUGCUCCUCUGACGUUAGCGGCGGACGGGUGAGUAACACGUGGAUAACCUACCUAUAAGACUGGGAUAACUUCGGGAAACCGGAGCUAAUACCGUAUAAUAUAUUGAACCGCAUGGUUCAAUGGUGAAAGACGGUUUUGCUGUCACUUAUAGAUGGAUCUCGGCCGCAUUAGCUAGUUGGUAAGGUAACGGCUUACCAAGGCGACGAUGCGUAGCCGACCUGAUAGGGGGAUAGGCCACACUGGAACUGAGCCACGGUCCAGACUCCUACGGGAGGCAGCAGUAGGGAAUCUUCGGCAGUGGGCGAAAGCCUGACGGAGCAACGCCGAGUGAGUGAUGAAGGUCUUCGGAUCGUAAAACUCUGUUAUUAGGGAAGAACAAAUGUGUAAGUAACUAUGCACGUCUUGACGGUACCGAAUCAGAAAGCCACGGCUAACUACGUG